UUCCCGUCGAAGACAAUGAUCCCCGUAGUACAAUGUACCUUUGGAGACCGGUCAAUAUCUUCUUCAUCGGUGACCGCCAUUUCCGUGCGCUUCAACAAAGAGUCGUCACGCCUACCAACGUUACCGAGUUGUAUCUGUACUCACAGAGCAUAUUGAAUGCCGUGGCCUUUAUGAUCCGGGAGGACUAUCCAAGCUGUGACAUCAAAUUGAAGACCAGUGGCACAUACGUGGUGACGAACGACGAAGAUAAGAAAUUCAUGCAAAAGCCAGGUUCCGUUGUUGGGCUGAGCGACAUGCAUCGCAUUCAGGACUUCGUGGAACAAAACACCGCGGCGAGUUUCGCAGAUAUAGUGAUCGUAUUGCUUG
Long non-coding RNA from Ornithodoros turicata, 366 nucleotides. RefSeq lists it as uncharacterized. The record is from RefSeq and is a predicted model, not a curated record. The transcript has 3 exons. NCBI's taxonomy places the organism in Eukaryota, Metazoa, Arthropoda, Arachnida, Ixodida, Argasidae.